CAGAGGAAGUAAAACAUAUUGAAAAUUCUACAAUUGGCCAGGCUUCUAAUCCAAAAUGGAUACAAGAAAGAUCACAGCGGAUUACUGCCUCAAAUUUUGGCAAAAUAUGUAAAAUGCGGGCAAAAACCUCGCCAUGUGGUGCAAUAAAAACGAUGCUGUAUGGAAAUUUUAGCGGCAAUAAUGCUACAAGAUAUGGAAGUGAAAGCGAGGCCCGAGCAAUUUUAGAAUUUGAAAAUGAAUUUAAUUUAAAAGUGUCUCGAUGUGGAAUUUUUAUAGGUGAACAAGAAUAUUAUUUGGCAGCGAGCCCUGAUGGUUGCAUUAAUGAACAUGAUUUGGUAGAAGUUAAAUGCCCAUUUAGCAUUGCCAACAUGACUCCAACCGAAGCAAUAUUAUCAAAAAAGAUCACAUUCGCUACAUUGGAAAAUAACCACCUACAUUUGAAAAAAAACCACAAUUAUUACUACCAAGUUCAGGGGCAGUUAGCUAUAGCUAACAAGCAAUCAUGCUAUUUUAUUAUUUGGAGCCCUCUUGGCAUGUUAGUUGAACAGAUUGGCCGUGACGAACAAUUUUGGGAGGAACAAAUGUUACCAAAAUUAAAAGCCUUCUACUUCAAUUUUUUAUUACCAGAAAUAGUUGACCCGCUUUAUCCAAAAGGGCUGCCUAUCAGAACUUAAAAUUCUUCCGUUGGCGAAAAACCUGUCAACUGAAUCGAUGCAGAAGCUAAUUAAUUUUUUUUUAUUUAUUUCCUAAUAUGUAAAAACCUUAAUAAAUAUGUAUAUACGU
Long non-coding RNA from Anthonomus grandis grandis, 783 nucleotides. RefSeq lists it as uncharacterized. Lineage: Eukaryota; Metazoa; Arthropoda; Insecta; Coleoptera; Curculionidae. The record is from RefSeq and is a predicted model, not a curated record. The transcript is spliced from 2 exons.